This 29-nucleotide non-coding RNA is filed under the name Homo sapiens (human). Lineage: Eukaryota; Metazoa; Chordata; Mammalia; Primates; Hominidae. The record is from RNAcentral.
UCCUUGUGCUAGGAUGUCCCAUGGAUAUA